AUGGCAGAAAGUGGUAAGGGAAUACCUCAAGUUGGUAUGAGGUUCAGAAGUGUAGAUGAGGCUUGGGCAUUUUGGAAUGCAUAUGGGGGUCACACCGGCUUUGAUGUGAGAAGGAGAUACGCAAACAAAAGCAAACUUGAUGGUCAGGUUGGUUCAUGCAGAUUUGUUUGUUCCAAUGAGGGUCAUCGAAGAAAAGGGCUAACUGAGACAGCACCAAAGCGUUUUAGAGCUGAAACUAGAACCAAUUGCCAAGCUCAUAUGUGUUUCCAAUUGGAUCAAGAGGCCGGAAAUUAUGAAGUAACUGAGGUUGUGCUUGAACACAACCACUUGCUUCAAUUGCUACAAACCCGCCACUUGAUGAUAUCCCAAAGAAAGAUUUCAGAACGACAAGCUUUUGAAAUUGAAAGCGCUGAUGAUUCCGGCAUUAUGCCACAAGCUGCACAUGAGUUUGCUUCUCGUCAAGUUGGUGGACCGAUUAACCUUGGAUAUACUUGCCGUGACCAAAAAAAUCAUUUGCGAACCAAGCGACAGAGGGAGUUGGCUUUUGGACAAGCUGGAAGUAUGUUGAAAUAUUUUCAUGAAAAAAUUGCUGACAAUCCAUCAUUCCAAUAUGCACUACAGUUGGAUUGUGAGGAGGAUAUAACCAACAUAUUCGGGGCUGAUGCUAAAAUGAUCCUUGACUAUGCGCAUUUUGGUGAUGUUGUCACUUUUGACACUACUUUUGGCACAAAUAAAUAG
RNAcentral lists this ribosomal RNA (738 nucleotides) under Triticum aestivum (bread wheat). RNAcentral's name for it is "partial small subunit ribosomal RNA". The record is from RNAcentral. Lineage: Eukaryota; Viridiplantae; Streptophyta; Magnoliopsida; Poales; Poaceae.